AUUGAACGCUGGCGGCAGGCCUAACACAUGCAAGUCGAACGAGUGGCGGACGGGUGAGUAAUGUCUGGGAAACUGCCCGAUGGAGGGGGAUAAAUACGGGAAACGGUAGCUAAUACCGCAUAACAUUGGAUGUGCCAUGGUUGGAUUAGCUAGUAGGUGGGGUAAAGGCUAACCUAGGCGACGAUCCAUAGCUGGUCUGAGAGGAUGACCAGCCACACUGGAACUGAGACACGGUCCAGACUCCUACGGGAGGCAGCAGUAGGGAAUCUUCCGCAAUGGGCGCAAGCCUGAUAGAGCCAUGCCGCGUGUAUGAAGAAGGCCUUCGGGUUGUAAAGUACUUUCAGCGGGGAAGCGUUACCCACACAAGAAGCACCGGCUAACUCCGUGCCAGCCGCCGCGGUAAUUC
RNAcentral lists this ribosomal RNA (406 nucleotides) under uncultured bacterium. Its description in RNAcentral is "partial 16S ribosomal RNA". It matches the Rfam family "Bacterial small subunit ribosomal RNA", at positions 30 to 526 of the family's 1533-position model. The record is from RNAcentral.